AUAGUUUUGCCAGUGGCAGUAUCGUAGCCAAUGAGGUUUAUCCGAGGCGCGAUUAUUGCUAAUUGAAAAAUACAUUUCACACAGAAGUGGAACCUGGCAAUAAAUUAUGAAAAAAUAUUUUUGAAAAAAAAUAAA
This is a small nuclear RNA of Neogale vison (American mink), 135 nucleotides long. RefSeq annotates it as U4 spliceosomal RNA. Lineage: Eukaryota; Metazoa; Chordata; Mammalia; Carnivora; Mustelidae. The record is from RefSeq and is a predicted model, not a curated record. The transcript has a single exon.